This 612-nucleotide ribosomal RNA is filed under the name uncultured bacterium. RNAcentral's name for it is "bacterial SSU rRNA". The stretch from base 1 to 521 matches the Rfam family "Bacterial small subunit ribosomal RNA", at positions 338 to 873 of the family's 1533-position model. The record is from RNAcentral.
CCUACGGGAGGCAGCAGUGGGGAAUAUUGCGCAAUGGGCGAAAGCCUGACGCAGCGACGCCGCGUGAGGGAUGAAGGUCUUCGGAUUGUAAACCUCUUUCAGCAGGGACGAAGCGAAAGUGACGGUACCUGAAGAAGAAGCACCGGCUAACUACGUGCCAGCAGCCGCGGUAAUACGUAGGGUGCAAGCGUUGUCCGGAUUUAUUGGGCGUAAAGAGCUCGUAGGCGGUUAGACACGUCGGAUGUGAAAACUGGGGGCUCAACCCCCAGCCUGCAUUCGAUACGGUCUGACUAGAGUGUGGUAGGGGUAACUGGAAUUCCUGGUGUAGCGGUGAAAUGCGCAGAUAUCAGGAGGAACACCGAUGGCGAAGGCAGGUUACUGGGCCACCACUGACGCUGAGGAGCGAAAGCGUGGGGAGCAAACAGGAUUAGAUACCCUGGUAGUCCACGCCGUAAACGGUGGGCGCUAGAUGUGGGGACCAUUCCAUGUUCGUGCGUCGCNGCUACGCAUAGUCGCCCGCCGUCGGGAGGUACGGUCGCGAGACGUAAACGUAACGUAAAGAAGUUAGACGGUCGUUGAGACGUUGCCGACGGCGACGACGAGGGGAGGAGG